Molecule: non-coding RNA, 777 nt
Organism: Rattus norvegicus (Norway rat)
Lineage: Eukaryota; Metazoa; Chordata; Mammalia; Rodentia; Muridae
Source: RefSeq, a predicted model, not a curated record
CGUGUCUCUCUUACGUUGGGGUCCAUCCCAGGUCCAGCUUAUAAAAGCAAAAACUGUAAAAGCUUGUACACAUGUACAGGAAGUGUUGCUGGCUGGCUGGCUUGGGUUCAGGCUUAUUGUAGCUAACUAGACAAAGAAGUUCCAACUGACCCCUAUUGUGAGUGGUUUCCAAGAGCACCAAAGCAUAGAACAUAACAGAAUAUUCAUUCAACUUGGGCAUGAAAAAGUUUCCUAGUAACAGCAAUAAUAUCAUAAAAUGGCAGACUAGACCGGCAGCAGUUACCCAGGCCUUUGUUAUGGAUUUGACUUAAAGCUUACGUUAUGUCAGUUGGGUUCAAAAAUUGUACACGAAUCCUGCAUGCAAGACACUGAGUGUCCCUGUCCCCAGUUGGUUUUGAUUGGUAAAUAAAGUUGCCAGUGGCCAAUGGUUGGGCAGGGAGACAGAAGCAGGCAAGGGGAUGAGGAAAAGAAGGAGUUAGAUUGCCAUGCCUGAAAAGGAAUAUGAUGCAGGCUUGAGAGCUGCAGAAGAUGAGUACCAAUCAGGUUUCUUUGGCUCAUGGUGUUUAUCACAGCAGCAGAAGGGGAGCCAGGCGAGCAGCGGGUCACCUCAGUUCUCUAAUUUAAACUUCCGAUCACUGGGACCAUCAACACCCACCUGCUCAGCAUUCAGAGUCAAGCACAUCAGACGACAGGAAAUAUAGAAGUGUGUCGGGAACGGUUGAGAUGGCUUCUCUUCCAUAUGUAUAUAUUUAAUGAUCAUUAAAUUUUCAUCUCAAA